This 127-nucleotide small nucleolar RNA is filed under the name Mus pahari (shrew mouse). RNAcentral describes it as "snoRNA (MGP_PahariEiJ_G0034708.1)". Lineage: Eukaryota; Metazoa; Chordata; Mammalia; Rodentia; Muridae. The record is from RNAcentral.
ACUGAGGCCUAUCUCCAUAGCUUUCCUAGUAACCACACACUACUGAAGACACCUCAUACUGUAUCUGCGGUUUUGCUUGGCUCAUGGGAAUAUUUCUUCAGUUUGUAGGAAGAACUACAAGACAGUU